UACGUAGGGUGCGAGCGUUAAUCGGAAUUACUGGGCGUAAAGCGUGCGCAGGCGGUUUUGCAAGACAGAUGUGAAAUCCCCGGGCUCAACCUGGGAAUUGCGCUUGUGACUGCAAAGCUGGAGUGCGGCAGAGGGGGAUGGAAUUCCGCGUGUAGCAGUGAAAUGCGUAGAUAUGCGGAGGAACACCGAUGGCGAAGGCAAUCCCCUGGGCCUGCACUGACGCUCAUGCACGAAAGCGUGGGGAGCAAACAGG
RNAcentral lists this ribosomal RNA (253 nucleotides) under uncultured bacterium. RNAcentral describes it as "partial 16S ribosomal RNA". It matches the Rfam family "Bacterial small subunit ribosomal RNA", at positions 524 to 776 of the family's 1533-position model. The record is from RNAcentral.